RNAcentral lists this unclassified non-coding RNA (222 nucleotides) under rhizosphere metagenome. RNAcentral describes it as "partial ribosomal RNA internal transcribed spacer region". The record is from RNAcentral.
GUAGGUGAACCUGCGGAAGGAUCAUUAACGAAUUUCCGGAAGUGGAUGGAGCCGCAAGGUUUCUGAAGCUUUCCUUUUUCACCCAUGCUGUCGGUCCGUUCUUGCAAAAGACGCGGCGCAUGUUUUUCCUUCGUACUAUUUCUGUCUGAAUUACAAACAACGUCAUCCGACGUUUUACAAAAGCAAAUUGAAAAACUAUGAACAACGGAUCUCUUGGCUCUU